UAUAGGUUUUCAUCAAUAAAUCCUUCCUCCACAAUUCCAUUCAAAACCAACAAAAAUGAGUAGCAACAUACCAUCUCAAGAAAGUUUUGUUGUACAAAGGAAAAUGGACAUGAGAGGUGGACUCCACCUGAUCUAAGAUGAAGGAAAGAUGGAGUGGAACCGUCAUACCGAUACCCAUUCUUGAGGAGGCAGUGACUGCUAUAGCCUCAGACACCGGUUUGGUGUUCACAUGGCGUGAGUUGUAUGAACGUUUUCAAUUUUUUGAGAGCCGAAGAAAGAGCCAUAAAUUCCAACAUCGUCGUCAUAUCCGACACAACGGUGCCAAUUAUUGAUCAAGAGUAUCCACCGAGUCCUAGGGGUGGGGAGUAUGAGCCAUCCGGAGCGGCAAGUGAAUCCGUGUGCUCCCCGAUUCUUCACAAUGUAGUACCCACAAGACGCAAAUUGUUUAAUUUGGAUACUCAGUCCGGCAAUGAAAGUGAUCAUGUUUUUGUUGCUCCUCGAAAUGAGGGUGGUUUGAAGAGAAAGCCGUCGUCCUCUUGCCGUUCGAAGUCGCCUUCAAUACCACCUUUCAACCCAGUGGCUUCUUCUCGCGACAGCUCUUGUUUGAUCCAAUAGCCCAAACCAAUAGAGGAGACACAACUUCAAGUAGAUUGGCUGCAUUUAUUCUGUAGCUUAUGAAGAACCACCAUCCUUAGUAGGUUAAUUAGAUUAAAUUAUGUCUGUUUUAUCAUUAUGUUUGUUCUGUGUUGUAGCGUCUAAGUAUAGUCGACUAUUGCUAAUGUAUGCUUUCGUUCAACACACCUGUCUUUGAUUUGUA
Molecule: long non-coding RNA, 817 nt
Organism: Salvia splendens (bonfire salvia)
Lineage: Eukaryota; Viridiplantae; Streptophyta; Magnoliopsida; Lamiales; Lamiaceae
Exons: 2
Source: RefSeq, a predicted model, not a curated record